This 87-nucleotide transfer RNA is filed under the name Nitrospinota bacterium. RNAcentral's name for it is "tRNA-Leu". It matches the Rfam family "tRNA". Rfam says of the family: Transfer RNA (tRNA) molecules are approximately 80 nucleotides in length. Lineage: Bacteria; Pseudomonadati; Nitrospinota. The record is from RNAcentral.
GCCGAUGUGGUGGAAUUGGCAGACACGCAGGAUUCAGGAUCCUGUGGGGGCAACCCUGUGGGAGUUCGACUCUCCCCAUCGGCACCA